This 468-nucleotide ribosomal RNA is filed under the name uncultured bacterium. Its description in RNAcentral is "partial 16S ribosomal RNA". It matches the Rfam family "Bacterial small subunit ribosomal RNA", at positions 28 to 507 of the family's 1533-position model. The record is from RNAcentral.
GACGAACGCUGGCGGCGUGCUUAACACAUGCAAGUCGAACGGCAAGGCCCUGCUUUUGUGGGGUGCUCGAGUGGCGAACGGGUGAGUAACACGUGAGUAACCUGCCCUUGACUUUGGGAUAACUUCAGGAAACUGGGGCUAAUACCGGAUCGGAGCUCCUGCUGCAUGGUGGGGGUUGGAAAGUUUCGGCGGUUGGGGAUGGACUCGCGGCUUAUCAGCUUGUUGGUGGGGUAGUGGCUUACCAAGGCUUUGACGGGUAGCCGGCCUGAGAGGGUGACCGGGCACAUUGGGACUGCGAUUCGGCCCAGACUCCUACGUGAGGCAGCAGUGGGGAAUAUUGCACAGUGGGCGGAAGCCUGAUGCAGCAACGCCGCGUGCGGGAUGACGGCCUUCGGGUUGUAAACCGCUUUCGCCUGUGACGAAGCGUGAGUGACGGUAAUGGGUAAAGAAGCACCGGCUAACUACGUG